GGUAUUUUCCACGAAGUCUUAGGAAGUUGAAAAAUAAAAUAUUUAACUUAAGGCACGCGGUGAAUACC
Molecule: microRNA precursor, 68 nt
Filed under: Gyrodactylus salaris (gyrodactylosis fluke)
Lineage: Eukaryota; Metazoa; Platyhelminthes; Monogenea; Gyrodactylidea; Gyrodactylidae
Description: microRNA gsa-mir-124a precursor
Gene: gsa-mir-124a
Source: miRBase by way of RNAcentral